This 468-nucleotide ribosomal RNA is filed under the name uncultured bacterium. RNAcentral's name for it is "partial 16S ribosomal RNA". It matches the Rfam family "Bacterial small subunit ribosomal RNA", at positions 28 to 523 of the family's 1533-position model. The record is from RNAcentral.
GAUGAACGCUGGCGGCGUGCCUAACACAUGCAAGUCGAGCGAUUCUCUUCGGAGAAGAGCGGCGGACGGGUGAGUAACGCGUGGGUAACCUGCCCUGUACACACGGAUAACAUACCGAAAGGUAUGCUAAUACGAGAUAAUAUGCUUUUAUCGCAUGGUAGAAGUAUCAAAGCUUUUGCGGUACAGGAUGGACCCGCGUCUGAUUAGCUAGUUGGUAAGGUAACGGCUUACCAAGGCGACGAUCAGUAGCCGACCUGAGAGGGUGAUCGGCCACAUCGGAACUGAUACACGGUCCAAACUCCUACGGGAGGCAGCAGUGGGGAAUAUUGCACAAUGGGCGAAAGCCUGAUGCAGCAACGCCGCGUGAGCGAUGAAGGCCUUCGGGUCGUAAAGCUCUGUCCUCAAGGAAGAUAAUGACGGUACUUGAGGAGGAAGCCCCGGCUAACUACGUGCCAGCCGCCGCCGUAA